UAAGGAAUAUUGGUCAAUGGACGAAAGUCUGAACCAGCCAUCCCGCGUGCAGGAUGACGGCCCUAUGGGUUGUAAACUGCUUUUAGCAGAGACGAAACGCUGUCAUUUAUGAUGGUCUGACGGUAUCUGCAGAAUAAGCACCGGCUAACUCCGUGCCAGCAGCCGCGGUAAUACGGAGGGUGCAAGCGUUAUCCGGAAUCACUGGGUUUAAAGGGUGCGUAGGCGGAAAAUUAAGUCAGUGGUGAAAGCCUGUCGCUUAACGAUAGAACUGCCAUUGAUACUGAUUUUCUUGAAUUGGGUUGAGGUUAGCGGAAUGUGACAUGUAGCGGUGAAAUGCAUAGAUAUGUCAUGGAACACCAAUUGCGAAGGCAGCUAGCUGGGCCUUGAUUGACGCUGAGGCACGAAAGCGUGGGUAGCGAACAGG
This 424-nucleotide ribosomal RNA is filed under the name uncultured Saprospiraceae bacterium. RNAcentral describes it as "bacterial SSU rRNA". It matches the Rfam family "Bacterial small subunit ribosomal RNA", at positions 355 to 776 of the family's 1533-position model. The record is from RNAcentral. Lineage: Bacteria; Pseudomonadati; Bacteroidota; Saprospiria; Saprospirales; Saprospiraceae.